GACGUGCUGAGUCUGCCACAGGAACUCACUCAUUUGUGUGUGAGUCUGGUGGGCAGAGACGAUUGUUUUAAAUCCAGGAAUAUGCACUUAAAAUUUCUUGAAUUGGGCAAGUAGCAAAAAUCUUUUAAAUCCAUUGUUCUAUUUUGACAGUUUCAGAGCUUGUUGUAAGUUUCAGUCCACCUUGACUGAAAUGUCACGGCCAUCGAAGAAUAAAGAACAAGUUUUCUGCAGACAAAAGGCAGACCUCAUGGAAUGAAUAACUGCAGGAGACUUGUUCCAGAAAAUUAGCUCUGUUACCAUCCUGCUCCGAGAAGUAACUUGGGCUGAAGCUUUGGAUGAUCAGGAUUCACCCCUGCCGACUGAAAAAUAAAUUCCAGCAAUCUCAUAUCAAAUCCACUGAAAACUUGUUCAAUGAUUCAUUCAGUUUUUGAUUUUUUUCCCUUUUUUAAAUAGCAGUUUUAAAAAUGUUAUUAGA
This is a long non-coding RNA of Pantherophis guttatus, 475 nucleotides long. RefSeq lists it as uncharacterized. Lineage: Eukaryota; Metazoa; Chordata; Lepidosauria; Squamata; Colubridae. The record is from RefSeq and is a predicted model, not a curated record.